AAACGACUCUCGGCAACGGAUAUCUCGGCUCUUGCAUCGAUGAAGAACGUAGCGAAAUGCGAUACUUGGUGUGAAUUGCAGAAUCCCGUGAACCAUCGAGUCUUUGAACGCAAGUUGCGCCUGAAGCCAUUAGGUUGAAGGCACGCCUGCCUGGGCGUCACGC
Molecule: ribosomal RNA, 163 nt
Filed under: Rhododendron javanicum
Lineage: Eukaryota; Viridiplantae; Streptophyta; Magnoliopsida; Ericales; Ericaceae
Also listed under: 24 other names
Description: 5.8S ribosomal RNA
Rfam family: 5.8S ribosomal RNA
About the family: 5.8S ribosomal RNA (5.8S rRNA) is a component of the large subunit of the eukaryotic ribosome. It is transcribed by RNA polymerase I as part of the 45S precursor that also contains 18S and 28S rRNA. Functionally, it is thought that 5.8S rRNA may be involved in ribosome translocation.
Source: RNAcentral